GGGCACUUAGUUCAUCGGUAGAACGCUUUCCUGAUAAGAAAGAGGCGGAUGGUUCGACUCCAUCAGUGCCCACUA
This 75-nucleotide transfer RNA is filed under the name Candidatus Amesbacteria bacterium RIFCSPHIGHO2_01_FULL_47_34. Its description in RNAcentral is "tRNA-Ile". It matches the Rfam family "tRNA". Rfam says of the family: Transfer RNA (tRNA) molecules are approximately 80 nucleotides in length. Their secondary structure includes four short double-helical elements and three loops (D, anti-codon, and T loops). Further hydrogen bonds mediate the characteristic L-shaped molecular structure. tRNAs have two regions of fundamental functional importance: the anti-codon, which is responsible for specific mRNA codon recognition, and the 3' end, to which the tRNAs corresponding amino acid is attached (by aminoacyl-tRNA synthetases). tRNAs cope with the degeneracy of the genetic code in two manners: having more than one tRNA (with a specific anti-codon) for a particular amino acid; and 'wobble' base-pairing, i.e. permitting non-standard base-pairing at the 3rd anti-codon position. The record is from RNAcentral. Lineage: Bacteria; Candidatus Amesiibacteriota. RNAcentral also lists the same sequence under 2 other names.